Molecule: long non-coding RNA, 624 nt
Filed under: Struthio camelus australis
Lineage: Eukaryota; Metazoa; Chordata; Aves; Struthioniformes; Struthionidae
Description: lncRNA (ENSSCUG00000013555.1)
Source: RNAcentral
CUUUUGGUGUGUAAAGGUUUCUUUCUUUUACCUCAGCAUCGGCCUUCAUUGAAGAGUGGUUUCCUAUCGAUGCCGGCGGUGGGCGGGGGGGGAAUCCGCUCCUUUAUUGAGUUCUUUCUUUCUGAUAUGGCCAGCUGGAUCACGAAGUCCUUGAGGCAGUUCAGGAGUGAGGCGUUUGAGACUGCUGCCCACUUUUCUGAAAUGCAGGAGCAGUCGCAAAGCUCUAGCACUGACUGCUCGAUGCAUAAGAGGAUAUUUUGUGAUGAGGCACUUCCAAAUAGCAAUGAUCCUGCGUCAGGUUUCCUAACUAGAUUCUUUGGUGAACUGUUCUUCAGCCAGCCAGAUACUUUAAUCACACUUGUUGAUGAAUCCAUAAAUCAAAGGUUUGAGAAAGCCAGUGAUCUUCAGCACCAGGUGCAUCCUGGAAGUCACAUAGACCCUGGGCAUCAUUAUACCUGCUGUCAGGAUGGAAGCCCAACCACCAAGGCAAGUAUGAACAUGAGGCACGUGAACCAUAAUUCCCAGAGUUCUCUGGCAUUUGUGGAGAGCACAGAUCUCUGCUAAACACACCCCCAUCCCUCCCAAAAGUUUUUAUGCUGUUAAGUGAAAUGGGGAAGAAUUUGC